This 72-nucleotide transfer RNA is filed under the name Marmota monax (woodchuck). RNAcentral's name for it is "tRNA.Val". It matches the Rfam family "tRNA". From Rfam's summary of the family: Transfer RNA (tRNA) molecules are approximately 80 nucleotides in length. Their secondary structure includes four short double-helical elements and three loops (D, anti-codon, and T loops). Lineage: Eukaryota; Metazoa; Chordata; Mammalia; Rodentia; Sciuridae. The record is from RNAcentral.
GGGGUUGUAGCUCAGAUGGUAGAGCACUUGCCUAACAUGCAUGAGGCACUGGGUUCAAUCCUCAGCACCACA